GAAUAUUGCACAAUGGGCGAAAGCCUGAUGCAGCAACGCCGCGUGAGCGAUGAAGGCCUUUGGGUCGUAAAGCUCUGUCCUUGGGGAAGAAAAAAAAUGACGGUACCCUUGGAGGAAGCCCCGGCUAACUACGUGCCAGCAGCCGCGGUAAUACGUAGGGGGCAAGCGUUAUCCGGAAUUGUUGGGCGUAAAGAGUGCGUAGGUGGUUUUGUAAGCGCGGGGUGAAAGGCAAUGGCUCAACCAUUGUAAGCCCUGCGAACUGUGAGACUUGAGUGCAGGAGAGGAAAGCGGAAUUCCUAGUGUAGCGGUGAAAUGCGUAGAUAUUAGGAGGAACACCAGUGGCGAAGGCGGCUUUCUGGACUGUAACUGACACUGAGACACGAAAGCGUGGGGAGC
RNAcentral lists this ribosomal RNA (396 nucleotides) under uncultured Anaerovorax sp. RNAcentral's name for it is "bacterial SSU rRNA". It matches the Rfam family "Bacterial small subunit ribosomal RNA", at positions 359 to 769 of the family's 1533-position model. Lineage: Bacteria; Bacillati; Bacillota; Clostridia; Peptostreptococcales; Anaerovoracaceae. The record is from RNAcentral.